GUGCUCGCUUUGGCAGCACAUAUAGUAGAAUUGGAACGAUAGAGAAGAUUAACAUGCCCCUGCGCAAGAAUGACAUGCAAAUUCGUGAAAUGUUCCAUAUUUUA
This is a small nuclear RNA of Suncus etruscus (white-toothed pygmy shrew), 104 nucleotides long. The record is from RefSeq and is a predicted model, not a curated record. NCBI's taxonomy places the organism in Eukaryota, Metazoa, Chordata, Mammalia, Eulipotyphla, Soricidae.